This 496-nucleotide ribosomal RNA is filed under the name uncultured bacterium. Its description in RNAcentral is "partial 16S ribosomal RNA". It matches the Rfam family "Bacterial small subunit ribosomal RNA", at positions 29 to 507 of the family's 1533-position model. The record is from RNAcentral.
AUGAACGCUGGCGGCGUGCCUAAUACAUGCAAGUCGAGCGAACAGACGAGGAGCUUGCUCCUCUGACGUUAGCGGCGGACGGGUGAGUAACACGUGGAUAACCUACCUAUAAGACUGGGAUAACUUCGGGAAACCGGAGCUAAUACCGGAUAAUAUAUUGAACCGCAUGGUUCAAUAGUGAAAGACGGUUUUGCUGUCACUUAUAGAUGGAUCCGCGCCGCAUUAGCUAGUUGGUAAGGUAACGGCUUACCAAGGCGACGAUGCGUAGCCGACCUGAGAGGGUGAUCGGCCACACUGGAACUGAGACACGGUCCAGACUCCUACGGGAGGCAGCAGUAGGGAAUCUUCCGCAAUGGGCGAAAGCCUGACGGAGCAACCCCGCGUGAGUGAUGAAGGUCUUCGGAUCGUAAAACUCUGUUAUUAGGGAAGAACAAAUGUGUAAGUAACUAUGCACGUCUUGACGGUACCUAAUCAGAAAGCCACGGCUAACUACGUG